GGGUUCCGCCGCGGGGCUGCGAGCGCGCGCGGGCCAGUUCGGGCCGGGGGCGGGAACCGGCUCGGAUGCUCAGGGACGGUGGGGGUGGCAGGGCCCACCGGCUUGAGGCUGCCUUUCCCGGCGUUCCCUCGUUUAUUGGCUCACUCUUCCUUUCAUCCAUCCAUCCUUUGCGCAACAAUAUUUGAUGGGAAGCCUGCCAAGAUUUCACCUGAUUCUUGGCCACAAAGUUUCAAGGGAACCAGAGCUAAUGAAGACAGCAUGGAAGGGCACCGCCGAGACCUACCUGUGGGAGUCCACCUCACCCUCAAGAACAGCUACCAUUUUAACACAGAUGGAUAAACCCCAUGAAAGUGAACUUCCUAAAUGCAAAUUCUGAUCUUGAAGCCCCAGCUGGCACAUCUACUGGAGACCCUCCCAAGCAACAAGAUGUAGAUGCUUUAGAGAUAACAAACUAUACAAGUUGUCUUCCAUUCUUUCUCCUUCCUCUAUUUUCAACACGGAUAAAAUACAUAUAUAUUUAUCUUGCUGAGCUCAGUAGGAUUAUUUAGCUUUAUUUCCAUGGCUGCCUUUUCUUAAUGUAAUAGAAUUUCCAAUCGAGCUUAUUACUUCCUUCCGUCACAAGCCUGAGGUCCUUUCACACCCAUCCUGUCCUUGGCAAAGAUCUUUGGAAAGUAGCCUGGGACAUACCUAGUGGUAAGCCACCUGCUCUGGGUUGAGGGUGGAUCUAUUCUAGUCAGAGGCUUUGUGAUCUGGACAAAGGAAUUGAGUAUGUGGCUGUCAAACUGUCAGGCAAUACUAAAUUUGGCUGGCCAGCUGAAUUCUAGCAGAAAAUCAUGCAAAAUAAGGUUUAGCAAUUGGGGAAAAAUGGCCCACAGGAAAAACAAAGGGAUGAAAUUCCGUAGGACUACACGGCCAUAGAAUUCUAACUUGAGGGCUGCAACCAGCUAUGUGACCUUGUAGUACAAGGACCAGUCUUCAGAUACAAAAUAGAGUUUGGAGUUAAAGGGAUCUUUGAGAAGAAGCCAUUAUCCACCCCCUCCUCCCAAUUUUAUAUGCCCUAAGAAAAAGGUUUCUUUCAACUUAGAAAGGUAUGAUUCUUGAAGUGCACUUCCUCCGAGUUUUCCUGAGCCUCUCAAUCAAAAUGACUUGCACCUGCCCAUCCAUUCCCAUUGGCUUAUGCUCCUACCCUGCAGUAUUGGCUUCAUUAUGCCUCACCUUGUACACCUGUCUGAUUCCUCUCCUAGAUUAUCAGCACCUUGACAAUGGGCUCGUAUCUUGUGUAUCCCUGAAUUUCCAGGGACAAUGAUAGUGCCUGCCACAUAAUUGAUGGUCAAUAAAUUUUGGUUAAAUAGUAACAAGAAACUCCCAUUUAAAAAAUGUGUUAUCGUUAUCAUUCUCAAUCUGGAUGCUCUCCUCUAUACACAGUUUUAUUCAGUAACUCUCUUAAAAUUGUAAAGGUGAGAAAUUGAACACAGUUUCCCAGGUCUUUGAGCAGCACGAGAUACAGGGAGAAAAAAAAUGCUUUGUGCUUGAAUACUUUACUUCUGAUUGGAGAAAAUAAACACUGCACUGGAUUAUUUUUAAAGAUACAUCACAUUACGUUUGUGAUCAACUGAAAUGCUAAGAUAUUUGCAUGUGGAUUUCUGCCAAGCUGCUUUUCUCCCAUUCUUCAUGUGUGUGAUUGAUCUUGAAAUCAAAUGGUGGGACUUUAUAUAUUUUUUUGUUUUAACUCAAGGUAAAGUCUGACAAAAAUCACGUUAAAUUUGAUGCUGUCAGUGAAGACAUUAGCAAUCCUUCCUGGCUUAAGGUCACUGGCAAAUUUGAUAUACUUAUCUUUUGUGGGGUUUUUUUGUUGGUUUUUUUAAGACAGGGUCCCACUCUGUCACCCAAGUUAGAGUACAGUGGCUUGAAAAUGGCUCACUGAAGCCUCGACCUCCCAGGCUUAAGCAAUCCUCCCACCUCAGCCUCCUGAGUAGCUGGGACUACAGGCAUGCACCACAAUGUCUGGCUGAAUUUUUUUUUUUUUUUUUUUUUUUUGUAGAGAUGUGGUCUUCCUAUGGUUCCCAGGCUGGUCUUGAACUCCUGGGCUCAACCAAUCCUCCCACCUUGGCCUCCCAAAGUGCUGAGAUUAUAGGCAUAAGCCACAACAUGCAGCCGUCUUUUCCGUUUUUAUCCCACUCUUUGACAAUGUUGGAAGGAUUAGGACUAGCUCUAAUAAGAGUCACCCCCUUCAUAUUGGGUAAUCAACCAACAGCUAGAAAUGUACACUGAAAUACUACCAGACAUCCCUUAUUUUACCAUCUUAUCCACAAAGAUCUUACAGAUGACAUUUUAAAAACAUUGUCUAAAGCACAGAAAUACUUUUAAGCACAGUAGCCCCUGAAGCUUGCCAGCCAAAUAAUCUAUUAAAACUUAAAUGAAACAAGGCAAGUAUGGUGCAUGCGUAUGGUGGCUGUGGUACUGGUGGCAUGCUUUUUUAAAUUCUACAGUCUCCUCCAACCACCCUCUGCUUUUUAAGUAAGUCUAAUUUAGCAUAUGCCUUGGCAUUCAUAUUAGGCUGACUUUCCACGACUGGCAUCCC
RNAcentral lists this long non-coding RNA (2581 nucleotides) under Homo sapiens (human). Its description in RNAcentral is "non-protein coding lnc-KIAA1147-3:10". Lineage: Eukaryota; Metazoa; Chordata; Mammalia; Primates; Hominidae. The record is from RNAcentral.